This 77-nucleotide transfer RNA is filed under the name Alphaproteobacteria bacterium. RNAcentral describes it as "tRNA-Arg". It matches the Rfam family "tRNA". From Rfam's summary of the family: Transfer RNA (tRNA) molecules are approximately 80 nucleotides in length. Lineage: Bacteria; Pseudomonadati; Pseudomonadota; Alphaproteobacteria. The record is from RNAcentral. RNAcentral also lists the same sequence under 2 other names.
GUCCCCGUAGCUCAGCUGGAUAGAGCACAGGUUUCCUAAACCUGGGGCCGGAGGUUCAAAUCCUCUCGGGGACGCCA